GCAGGACAUAGCUCAAUUGGCUAGAGCACGUAAACUUUGUAGUAUUGUUAUAAAUAUGUUACAUACAGCAAUUAUUUCUAAUGCGCUUUUAACGCCGUGGUUAUCGGUUCGAGUCCGGUUGUCCUGCA
Molecule: transfer RNA, 128 nt
Filed under: Blautia hansenii DSM 20583
Lineage: Bacteria; Bacillati; Bacillota; Clostridia; Lachnospirales; Lachnospiraceae
Description: tRNA-OTHER
Rfam family: tRNA
About the family: Transfer RNA (tRNA) molecules are approximately 80 nucleotides in length. Their secondary structure includes four short double-helical elements and three loops (D, anti-codon, and T loops).
Source: RNAcentral